This 218-nucleotide ribosomal RNA is filed under the name uncultured bacterium. RNAcentral's name for it is "partial 16S ribosomal RNA". It matches the Rfam family "Bacterial small subunit ribosomal RNA", at positions 576 to 793 of the family's 1533-position model. The record is from RNAcentral.
CGGAUUAAUAAGUCAGUGGUGAAAUCCCAUCGCUUAACGAUGGAACUGCCAUUGAUACUGUUAGUCUUGAAUGAGGGUGCAGUGAUUGGAAUGUGUAGUGUAGCGGUGAAAUGCAUAGAUAUUACACAGAACACCGAUUGCGAAGGCAGAUCACUAACCCUAAAUUGACGCUGAGGGACGAAAGCGUGGGGAGCAAACAGGAUUAGAUACCCUGGUAG